UGAGGAAUAUUGGACAAUGGGCGCAAGCCUGAUCCAGCCAUGCCGCGUGCAGGAAGAAGCAUCUCUGGUGUGUAAACUGCUUUUGUACGGGAAGAAACACUCCUUCGUGAAGGAGCUUGACCGUACCGUAAUAAUAAGGAUCGGCUAACUCCGUGCCAGCAGCCGCGGUAAUACGGAGGAUCCAAGCGUUAUCCGGAAUCAUUGGAUUUAAAGGGUCCGUAGGCGGUUUAGUAAGUCAGUGGUGAAAGCCCAUCGCUCAACGAUGGAACGGCCAUUGAUACUGCUAGACUUGAAUUAUUAGGAAGUAAAUAGAAUAUGUAGUGUAGCGGUGAAAUGCUUAGAUAUUACAUGGAAUACCAAUUGCGAAGGCAGGUUACUACUUGUGGAUUGACGCUGAUGGACGAAAGCGUGGGGAGCGAACA
RNAcentral lists this ribosomal RNA (422 nucleotides) under uncultured bacterium. Its description in RNAcentral is "bacterial SSU rRNA". It matches the Rfam family "Bacterial small subunit ribosomal RNA", at positions 355 to 774 of the family's 1533-position model. The record is from RNAcentral.